This 410-nucleotide ribosomal RNA is filed under the name Salmonella enterica subsp. enterica serovar Kentucky. RNAcentral's name for it is "bacterial SSU rRNA". It matches the Rfam family "Bacterial small subunit ribosomal RNA", at positions 1 to 409 of the family's 1533-position model. The record is from RNAcentral. Lineage: Bacteria; Pseudomonadati; Pseudomonadota; Gammaproteobacteria; Enterobacterales; Enterobacteriaceae.
AAAUUGAAGAGUUUGAUCAUGGCUCAGAUUGAACGCUGGCGGCAGGCCUAACACAUGCAAGUCGAACGGUAGCACAGAGAGCUUGCUCUCGGGUGACGAGUGGCGGACGGGUGAGUAAUGUCUGGGAAACUGCCCGAUGGAGGGGGAUAACUACUGGAAACGGUAGCUAAUACCGCAUAACGUCGCAAGACCAAAGUGGGGGACCUUCGGGCCUCACACCAUCGGAUGUGCCCAGAUGGGAUUAGCUAGUAGGUGGGGUAACGGCUCACCUAGGCGACGAUCCCUAGCUGGUCUGAGAGGAUGACCAGCCACACUGGAACUGAGACACGGUCCAGACUCCUACGGGAGGCAGCAGUGGGGAAUAUUGCACAAUGGGCGCAAGCCUGAUGCAGCCAUGCCGCGUGUAUGAA